This 253-nucleotide ribosomal RNA is filed under the name uncultured bacterium. RNAcentral describes it as "partial 16S ribosomal RNA". It matches the Rfam family "Bacterial small subunit ribosomal RNA", at positions 524 to 776 of the family's 1533-position model. The record is from RNAcentral.
UACAGAGGGUGCGAGCGUUAAUCGGAAUUACUGGGCGUAAAGGGUGCGUAGGUGGUUUUGUAAGUAACAUGUGAAAGUCCUGAGCUUAACUUGGGGAUUGCGUGUUAAACUGCAGAGCUAGAGUGUUGUAGAGGAUAGCGGAAUUUCCGGUGUAGCGGUGAAAUGCGUAGAUAUCAAGAGGAACACCUGAGGUGAAGACGGGUUGCUGGGCCAACACUGACGCUGAUGCGCGAAAGCCAGGGGAGCAAACGGG